Molecule: transfer RNA, 74 nt
Filed under: Streptococcus pyogenes ABC020044193
Lineage: Bacteria; Bacillati; Bacillota; Bacilli; Lactobacillales; Streptococcaceae
Description: tRNA-Met
Rfam family: tRNA
About the family: Transfer RNA (tRNA) molecules are approximately 80 nucleotides in length. Their secondary structure includes four short double-helical elements and three loops (D, anti-codon, and T loops).
Source: RNAcentral
GGGCGCGUAGCUCAACUGGUUAGAGCGCUCGGCUCAUAACCGAGAGGUCGUAGGUUCGAGUCCCCUCGUGCCCA